RNAcentral lists this long non-coding RNA (32041 nucleotides) under Vitis vinifera (wine grape). RNAcentral's name for it is "long non-coding RNA (VVIN_LNC005528)". The record is from RNAcentral. Lineage: Eukaryota; Viridiplantae; Streptophyta; Magnoliopsida; Vitales; Vitaceae.
AAAGAGUCAUCACUGACGUCUCCUCUGCAGUAUUUAACAAUGAAGAGACUGAUCCUGAAACAAUAAAACCUCUCAGAACCACUCUCCCUCUCAGUCUAAGCAAUGGAGAGUGUUGUCUUGUAUCCAUCACCAGGGAUGGGUCACCUCAUCUCAAUGGUGGAGCUUGGAAAGCUUAUACUGAAACACCAUCCUUCAUUCUCCAUCACCAUAUUCAUUGUCACUCCACCUUACAACACUGGCUCUACUGCUCCUUAUCUCGCCCGCGUCUCCUCCACCAUUCCUUCCAUCACUUUCCACCACCUCCCCACCAUUUCUCUCCCUCUCGAUUCUUUCUCCUCUCCCAACCAUGAAACCCUUGCUUUCGAGCUCCUCCGCCUCAACAACCCUAACAUCCACCAGGCCCUUGUGUCCAUCUCCAACAAUUCCUCCGUCCGUGCCCUUAUCGUUGAUUGCUUCUGUACAGCGGCGCUUUCUGUGGCUGCUCAACUCAACAUUCCAUUCUACUAUUUCUUCACUUCUGGCGCCUGCUGCCUCGCUUCCUUCCUUUACCUCCCUUUCAUUCACCAGCAGACUACCAAAAGCUUUAAAGACCUCAACACCCAUCUCCAUAUUCCGGGUUUACCGCCGGUACCGGCCUCUGACAUGGCGAAGCCGAUACUUGACAGGGAGGAUAAGGCUUAUGAGUUAUUCGUAAACAUGUCCAUACACUUGCCAAGAUCAGCUGGAAUCAUUGUGAACACCUUUGAAGCGCUGGAACCAAGAGCUGUCAAAACGAUUUUGGAUGGGCUCUGCGUCCUUGACGGUCCAACCUCACCAAUAUUCUGCAUAGGACCAUUAAUUGCAGCUGAUGAUCGAUCCGGUGGUGGUGGUGGUGGAGGGGGAGGUAGCGGCAUUCCUGAGUGUUUGACAUGGCUCGAAUCUCAACCAAAACGCAGCGUUUUGUUUUUGUGUUUUGGGAGCUUGGGUUUGUUCUCAGAAGAACAGUUGAAGGAGAUAGCGGUUGGGUUAGAGAGGAGUGGGCAGAGGUUCUUGUGGGUAGUGCGGAGCCCACCCUCCAAGGACCCGAGCAGGCGUUUUUUAGCACCACCGGAACCGGAUUUGAAUUCCCUUCUCCCAGAUGGGUUUUUGGAUCGAACCAAGGAGAGGGGCCUAAUGGUGAAGUCGUGGGCUCCUCAGGUGGCCGUCUUGAAUCACGCCUCUGUUGGAGGGUUUGUGACUCACUGUGGGUGGAACUCAGUGCUUGAAGCAGUGUGUGCAGGCGUGCCAAUGGUGGCAUGGCCACUAUAUGCCGAGCAAAGGUUUAACAGGGUGGUGCUGGUGGAGGAAAUGAAGCUAGCCUUUCCAAUGGAAGAGUCGGAAGAAGGGUUUGUUACUGCAACUGAGGUUGAGAAGCGAGUUAGAGAGUUGAUGGAGUCGGAGGAAGGAAACACCCUUCGUCUCCGGAUCAUGGCCAUGAAAGAAGCUGCUGAGACUGCAAUGAGCGACGGUGGAUCAUCCCGCACCGCAUUAACAAAACUGGUCAAGUCAUGGAGGCCAGGAUGAGAGAAAGAGAAGGCUGUUCGUCUUAGCUUUCAAUUUCUUCCAAAUCCCGAUUAUUCGGUACCACUUCAACCUAGCAAUUGUUUCAUUAGCAAAAUUUUGCAUUUCUUUUAGCAGUUCAAUUUUAUUGUGUUCUUGGGUAUUAAGUUUGUUAACCUAAUAGAAAAUAAAUAAAUAAAAAAAGACAAAUGAUUAAUAUCCCAUGAAGUGCACCAACAUUAAUAAUCUAAUAAUCAAAAUGAAUGAAAGGAAUUAUAGUGGUGAAGUUCUAAUAAAAAAACUCUUUCAAUUGAGGCUGCAUUUUAUAAAAAUAAAAAAUAAAACUUUAAACAUAAAAGGAUUAUAUAUAAUAGGGUAAAUUCAUCAAUUAUCACAUAAAAAAAUUAAAAAAAAAAAAUUGAAAAAGUGCUACCCCUUCCACCUUUACAAAUUGACCGGACAACUCAAUUCAUAUAAGCUUAUGGGGAACUCAACCCUUGCGAGCUGGUCGAACAACUUGAUCCUUGCGAGCUAUCCGAGCAGCUUGAUCCUUGGCAUUUGAACAAAAUACGAUAAUAUUGAUUCAAACUUCAUAAUCUAACAAGGUUUAAUUCCUUUCUUAACUAUUUCAUUUUUAUCACAAAUUUGGAUGAAUUUAAUUAUUCAAUACAAACACCUUUGGACCAUUUCUUGCAGUUUUCAAUGAUAAUCCAUAAAAACUUAGAUAUCAUGCUUGUAAAGUCAUGAACACGGAAGCAAAAAUAUCAUCUAUUAUUAGCAGAUAAAGUCCUAGGAGGGCCACACAUUCUUGAAAUCCAUACGUUUUUCCAAUGGAUACACCCUUCAGUGUACAGAUUUUUUUUUUGCAUGCGUGAAUAAAUGACAAUCCCGUUGUCACUUUGUUUUGAUCUAACAAUUUCAAAAUAUAUAUAUGUUCCUUUCUUUUACAUGUCAUUUUCCUUCUACCUUCUAAAAGUUGUCUUCUAGAGUCUCACUUAAAGUUGUUUUGGACUCUAUCGUGUGAUUGUUACAGCCAAUAUCUAGACAUUGAACAUCUUGUGAUUGAUUCUUCUCAAGUAUUCAUAUAAUAAAUACAAUUAGAAAUAUUAAUUCCCCCCUUUUCCAAUGUUGGGAUGGUACUCAUCUUUCACACCAUUAUUAGAACUGUCCCACCUUGAAGGUUUAUUAAAAAUAAAGCUUCCUAUUUGUGAUUAUCUUUAUUGAAAAUAUUAGAGUGACACCCCUAACCCAAGUAAUUAAGGCUAAGGGGACAAUGGUCAUUUCAUAGAUGGGCCCAAAGGUCUAACAUGUGAAUAAUGUCAGAAAUGUGAUAUAGUCAUUCAUUAAUGUUGGCCGGUUGCUUGUAACAUAUCAAAAUAGUAAUCAAAGAUUAUUAAAUCAACUUUGAAAAUGAAACAAAGUCCCACAUGCACGAGUAUUUAAAACAUUUUUCAAUUAGAUUUAAUUGAAAUAAAGUAAACUAACUAGCUAGUGGUAAAUAAUGGAGCAAAUUUUUUUUUUUGGUUUUUGCCUAUGAUGAGACGAGUUUGGAAGAAGUAUAAGUAGGUUAAGGAUGUGUUUGAGAUUUUUUUGAAACUUAAGACGGGUUGGACUAUUGCUUUGUCCCUCGCCACCAUAUCCCGAUUAUAUAUAGUUAUAAAAAUAAUUUAAUUUAAUUUAUUUUUUCAUUUUCCCCUUUUGUAACACAUAAAAUUUGCCAUAUUUUUUUGUUAAAAUUAAAAAAAAAAUUAUUUAUAAUUUUUUUUUAUAUAAUUAAAGUUUUUCAAAAAAUUAAAUUUUAAAAAUAAUAUAUAUAUAUAUAUAUAUAUAUAUAUGUGGUUUGAAAUUUCAUUGACUAUUUCCCUUAUUCCGAAUAAGAAAAAAGUGACUAAAAUUAAUAAAUGAAAAUAAUAUAAAAGAUAUUUAAUGAAAUUUCAAAUUUAUAAGAAUUACAUAUAUUUAAUCAAAAUUUCAAAGGAGAUGAAUAAAAUUAACUCAAUUAGAAAUCAAUUACUUAUAUCUAUUUACUUUAUUAUCUAAUUCAUUAAUCACCACUUAUGAAUAUAAUCAUCACUUAUAAUUACCAAAAUAUUAUGGUACUUAACUUCAUACCAAGGCCCAACAAAGUAAGGGGAACAUAAGUACCUAUAAUCCCUUAUGAAUUUCUAAUAGUAUAUAUUCUAGAGGUCCAAAAUUCCAACCAAAUUUAAUAGCAUUCAAUUUCCAUCUUAGAUUUUGGCAAGGCUUACAUCAAGAUUAAAACCAACAUCCAAUAUUUUUGAAUCAUGCAUUUUUUUAAAAAGAUUUAAGGCGUAUUUUUUAUCAUAAUUUUAGAAAGUAUUUCUAACAUUUUUAAUACUUAAAAAAUAAAAUUUUAUUUUCUAAAAUCACUAUCAAAUACACUUUUAAUUUAUGUUAUCACACAUAUCUCGGGUUAGGAUAGUAAUAAGCCCUGAUUUCAAAUUACCUCUUCGAGGGGCAUGGUUAUUUUUCAUUUUUCCAACUUUACCAUAUGACCAUACUAGUGUUUGAACCUCCUCUUCCACCAAAAAUUUAUUAGGGUAGUUGCCUUGUUCCUAUCGCUGCUUUAUAUUUUCGUCCUUUUAUGAUAGGUUUAACCUCCUCAAAAGUUUGUUCAAUCAUUUUCACAUGCUUCAAGCUAUCAAGCACUUGCGUUUUGUAUGGCAGCAGAAACAUGUUCACGUUUUGCAGGCAAAGUUCUUAAAACUUGCUUAUCAACAGUUUCUCUUCUUGAAUUGUGUGUCCACAACUUCAUAUUAACAAAAUCUCCAUAAAUUUUGAAGUUCUAUUGAAAUUAUUUUAUCACUUCUCAUGGGAUUCUUAAUUUUUAUAAUACUUGCUAUGCAACUUUAGCUUUCUAAUCCCCAAAAAAUUCUAGGAAGACUAACUUAAUUUGCUUAGCCUGUUGAAUAUAUAUACAAGUAUAAAGAGACAUAACAAGAGCAACUUUGCUUAUGCUUUGUUAAACAUAUAAUAAGCGUAAUAAAGAGAGACAAGAUUUUCUUGAGCAAGAAUCACAAGGCUUGCAAUGAAGAAGUCCAUCUUUUGACACUUGGUUUUCACAAGAUACCAAUGGGCCUUUGGUGUACACUUAAGGUGUCUCUCAACGACUCACGAUUACUUACUACUUACAGUUGGCCUAUAAUAAAUAUAUUUUCGAAAAGAGUAGAUAUAGAUUUAAUGAACAUUAGAUGAUAUUAAAAACUUGUGGAAUAAUAUUUCCAUGUGAUUAUCAAGUGUUAGGUACAUGAUAAAUAAGUUUUAAGAAGCCUGUUUUGGCAUUAAUCUUAUUAAUUUAAGAACUUAUUUGACAGUAAUUUUAAAAAAUAUUUUUUAACAUUUUUAACAAUUAAAUUUUUUUAAUAAUUCAAGUAUUAGAAAUGCUAAAAAUUAUUUUCUAAAUUUACUAUCAAAUGUGCUCUACAUUUGUUAUUAUGAUUAAGUACUAGUGGUUGUAAGUACAUAGUUAACUAUCCAUAUGUUAGUCCGAUCUACACUAAUUAAAGAGAAUCUAUAUGUUUUUUGAUUUGAAAGUUUAAAAUAAAAUAGAAAAUAAGAAUAAUUUAAUUAAAUUUUUAUUCACUUUCAAGAAAAAAAAAUAGUAUUUAUAUAUGUGAUUAAAAGGUAAUACUCUAAUAUUACUUUUGACUUAAAAAUGUAUUAAAUAAAAAAUAUUUUUAAUCGAAUGAUAUGAAUCGAGAUAUAGAAAAAUGAGUUCUCAUUCUACUUAUAUUUCUAAAUAAGACCAUGAAAACAUAUUUUUUCUAUCUUAAAUAGAAAAUAAGCGAAUUAUAAUUUUAAUAAACCAAUCUUUCUUUUAGGGUUCUAGGAUAUUUUGACGUAUGAUUAGGGAGAUAUUUUGUGUUUAAAUUAGGGGAGUUUAAACCAUGUUUUUAAAGUAAGGUUUUACUUUAAAAACAAAACAAAAAUCCCCCCCAAAAAAAAAUCAUGUUUGUCCAUCAAACAUUAUAUAUGAUUUUUAAUUUUUCUUUAAAAAACAUCUUUUAAAUUAUAAAUACUAUUAAAAAGACUCUAAAUUACGUGAGAUAUAGGCCAUUUGAAAGCGACAAGAAAAAAAAAACAAAAAACAAAAAACAAAAACCAAAUAAUAAUAAUGUUUGUCCAUAAAACAUUAUAUACGAUUUUUCGCCUUUUUAAGAAUAUUCUCUACAUUUUAUCAAAUGUUUAUUUAAUUUUUUUUAUAAAAAAUAUCUUUUAAAGUAGAUUUUCUUUUUUUUUUUAAAAAAAAAAAAACUAUUAAAAAGACUUUAAGUUGCAUCAGACGUUUAAAAUGAAGUUAGGUUGUUUGAAAGAGAAAAAUAAAACAAAAAAUCAAAAAGCAAAAGACAAAAAAUAAUAAUAAUAAUAAUGUUUGCCCAUAAAACAUUAUCUAUGAUUUUUCGAUUUUUUAAGAAUGUUCUUUACAUUUUAUCAAAUGUCUAAUUUUUAUUUUUUUAAAUUAGAAAUACUUUUAAAAAAAACACAGUUAAAAAUCUUCUAAAUUGUGUUAGACAUUUGAAACAAAGGCAGACAGUUUGAAAAAGACAAAGAAACAAAACAAAAACCGUGUUUGUGCAUAAAACAUUAUAUAUAAUUUUUCAAUUUUUUUAGAAUGUUCUCUACAUUUUAUCAAAUGUUUUUUUUUAAACAUCUUUUAAAUUAGAAAUACUUUAAAAAAAAAAAUACUAUUAAGAAGACUUUAAGUUGCUUUAGAAAUUUAAAAUGAAGAUAGGUUGUUUGAAAGAGAGAAAAAAAACAAAACAAAACAAAAAGCAAUAAUAAUAAUAAUAAUAAUAAUAAUAAUAAUGUUUGCCCAUAAAACAAUAUAUAUGAUUUUUCAAAUUUUUAAGAAUGUUUUCUACAUUUCGUCAAAUGUCUAAUUUUUUUUUUAUAAAAAAAACGUAUUUUAAAUUACAAAUACUUUAAAAAAAAUACUAUUAAAAAGAGUUUAAAUUGUGUUAGACAUUUGGAACAAAGGCACACCGGUUGAAAGAGACAACAAAACAAAACAUAAGACUAUGUUUGGUUCCCGGAAAGUACAAAGGAAAGAAAAAAAAUGCUAAGGAAAAUGAUUUUCUCAUGUUUGGUUGUCCUAUGAAAAAUAUCAAAGAAAAUCAAAUAUAAUUAAAACUAAUUAAAAACUUAUAUAUUUUUAAAUUAUUUAAUCUUUAUAUUGAUGAGUUAAAAUAAAUAAAAUGAGUUUGAAGUAACAAAAAAAAUAAUUUAUCAACUUUUAAUAUAUUUUUUUUAUUUUUCUUCACUUUUUCUUUCCUUCUACUUUUCCUUUGUAUUUUCUUUCCCUCGUAUUUUCCCUCAAAUUUUCCGGGAACCAAACAUAGCCUAAAGAAAACAAAAAUGAUGUUUGUCCAUAAAACAUUAUAUAUGAUUUUAAAAUCUUUUAAAAAUGUUCUCAACGUUUUAUCAAAUGUGUAUUUUCUUUUUUAAAAAACAUCUUUUAAAUUAGAAAUGCAUUUAAAAAAAAAAACUAUUAAAAAGACUUUAAGUUGCAUUGUACAUUUGAAAUGAAGGUAGGUUGUUUGAAAGAGAAAAAAACCAAGAAAGAAAAAAAAACCAAAAGAAAAAACAAAAAGCAAAAAAUAAAAAAAAAUAAAAUGUGUUUGUACAUAAAACAUUAUAUAUUAUUUUUCAAUUUUUAAGAAUGUUUUCUACAUUUGAUAAAAUGUCAACUUUUUUUUAAAUAUGUUUUAAAUUAUAAAUACUUUUAAAAAAAAUUAUUAAAAAGGCCCUAAGAAUGUGUUUAAAUAAUGUUUUUUGUGAAGUGUUUUUAAUAAAAAUAUAUUUUUUCAAGAACCAUUAUAAAUGGUUUUCCAACUUGUAAAAAGUGUUUUCUAAAUAUUUCAACUAAAACAUUUUUUUAAAACAUAGAAAAACGACCUCUCAAAAUUCCUUCGUAAUUAUUGGAAGAAGCCUAUAGGAUCCGAAAUUGUCCAUGUCGUCCUCCAUUUUGCUUGGGUUGCACAUGGUUUGCUCUGCAUCUUUUCUUAUGCAUUCCAAGCAUCCAUCGAUUGACCAUUAGAUGGGAAAUAAUUGAAGUCUAAAACUACCCGUCUUCCUUUUCCACCAUCCUCUCUCAAACCUGUCCUACCAUUCUCUUUCACAGUGGUGCUAACAGUUGAAAUCUCAACCUUAAAUCAUUAUAUAUUUUUUGAUGAUUGACUUCUCCCCCUUGUCCUUUUGCUUUCUGCACUAUUUAACAAUGAAGAGACUGAUCCUUAAACAGUUAAACCUCUCUCCCUCUCAGUCUAAGCAAUGGAGAGUGUUGUCUUGUAUCCAUCACCAGGGAUGGGUCACCUCAUCUCAAUGGUGGAGCUUGGAAAGCUUAUACUGAAACACCAUCCUUCAUUCUCCAUCACCAUAUUCAUUGUCACUCCACCUUACAACACUGGCUCUACUGCUCCUUAUCUCGCCCGCGUCUCCUCCACCAUUCCUUCCUUCACUUUCCACCACCUCCCCACCAUUUCUCUCCCUCUCGAUUCUUUUUCCUCUCCCAACCAUGAAACCCUUGCUUUCGAGCUCCUCCGCCUCAACAACCCUAACGUCCACCAGGCCCUUGUGUCCAUCUCCAACAAUUCCUCCGUCCGUGCCCUAAUCGUUGAUUCCUUCUGUACAACCGCGCUUUCUGUGGCUGCUCAACUCAACAUUCCAUGCUACUAUUUCUUCACUUCUGGCGCCUGCUGCCUCGCUUCCUACCUUUACCUCCCUUUCAUUCACCAGCAGACUACCAAAAGCUUUAAAGACCUCAACACCCAUCUGCAUAUUCCGGGUUUACCGCCGGUACCGGCCUCUGACAUGGCGAAACCGAUACUUGACAGAGAGGAUAAGGCUUAUGAGUUCUUCCUAAACAUGUUCAUACACUUGCCAAGAUCAGCUGGAAUCAUUGUGAACACCUUUGAAGCUCUGGAACCAAGAGCUGUCAAAACGAUUUUGGAUGGGCUCUGCGUCCUUGACGGUCCAACCUCACCAAUAUUCUGCAUAGGACCAUUAAUUGCAACUGAUGAUCGAUCCGGUGGCGGUGGAGGGGGAGGUGGCGGCAUUCCCGAGUGUUUGACAUGGCUCGAAUCUCAACCAAAACGCAGCGUUUUGUUUUUGUGUUUUGGGAGCUUGGGUUUGUUCUCAGAAGAACAGUUGAAGGAGAUAGCGGUUGGGUUAGAGAGGAGUGGGCAGAGGUUCUUGUGGGUAGUGCGGAGCCCACCCUCCAAGGACCCGAGCAGGCGUUUUUUAGCACCACCGGACCCAGAUUUGAAUUCCCUUCUCCCAGAUGGGUUUUUGGAUCGAACCAAGGAGAGGGGCCUAGUGGUGAAGUCGUGGGCGCCUCAGGUGGCCGUCUUGAAUCACGCCUCUGUUGGAGGGUUUGUGACUCACUGCGGGUGGAACUCAGUGCUUGAAGCUGUGUGCGCCGGCGUGCCAAUGGUGGCGUGGCCACUAUAUGCCGAGCAAAGGUUUAACAGGGUGGUGAUGGUGGAGGAACUGAAGCUAGCCUUGCCAAUGGAAGAGUCGGAAGAAGGUUUUAUUACUGCAACUGAGGUUGAGAAGCGAGGUAGAGAGUUGAUGGAGUCGGAGGAAGGGAACACCCUUCGUCUCCGGAUCAUGGCCAUGAAAAAAGCUGCUGAGACUGCAAUGAGCGACGGUGGAUCAUCCCGCAACGCAUUAACAAAACUGGUCGAGUCAUGGAGGCUAGGAUAGAGAGAGAAGGGUGCUCGUCUUAGCUUUCAAUUUUUUCCAAAUCUCGAUUAUUCCGUGCCACUUCAACCGUAUAUUAUCCUAAUCACACGCUACGGGGGAGAAAAUAAAGAAAGAGACAACAUUUUCAGCGUAGUUUGACAAUCAAAGAACUUGCAUUAACACUCCAUAAUCUACUUAUCAAAAUAAAUGAAAAGAGUUACGAUGGUGAAACUCUUGAAAAAAGACCUCUCAUUUACAUCACACUUUCCAAAAAAUAAAACCCUAAAUAUAAAAAGGUUAAAUAUAUAAUAUGAACAAACUUAUCAAUUAUCAUAUAAAAAAAUAAAAAUAAAAUAGUAAGACUACUCCUUUUAACCCUCGUAAGUUGAUCGGGCAGCUCGAUCCCCACGAGCUCAAUGGGGAAUUCUAUUCCCGUGAACAAAUUGGACAACUCAACCUCCGAUAUUCCAAGUAAAGUGCAAUAAUAUUGAUUUAAGCUUCACAAUCUAACAACAUAUAAUUCUUUUAUUAAUUAUCUCAUUUUUGUUACAAGUUUAUAUGAAUUUAAUUAUUCAAUACAAACACCUUAGGACCAUUUCUUGCGGUUGUCAAUGAUAAUCCAUAGAAAACUUAGAUAUCAUCCUCAUAAAAUCAUGGACAAAGAAGCAAAAAUAUCAUCUGUUAUUAGCAGAUAAAAGUCCAAGGAGAGCUACACAUGCUUGUAGUCUAUACGUUUUUCCAAUGGAUACACCCUUCAGUGUACACAUUUUUUUCUUGCGUGAAUAAAUGACAAUCCAGUCAUCACUUUCUUUUGAUCUAACAAUUCCAAAAUAUACAUAUAUGUUUCUAUCUUUUACAUGUCAUUUUCCUUUUACAUUCUAAAAGUUGUCCUCUAGAUUCUCGCUUGAAGUUGUUUUGGACUCUAUUGUAUGACUGUUACAGCCAAUAUCUAGAUAUUGGAUCUCUUGUGAUUCUUCUCUACUGUUCAUAUAAUUAAUACAAUUAGAAAUAUUAAUUCCCCCCUUUUCUAAUGUUGGGAUGGUAUUCAUUUUUCACACCAGUAUUAGAAUUGUCCCACCUUCAACAUUUGUUAAACAAAAAGGCUUCCUAUUUGUAUUAUCUUUAUUAAAAAAUGCUAGUGCAUGUAGCACUAACCCAAAUAAAGCUAAGGGGAUAAUGGUCAUUUCAUGGGUGGACCCAAAGAUCUAAGAUGUGAAUAAGUCUUUUAAAACUUGACAUAGUUAUUCAUGCAGGGCGGUUGCUCAUAACAUAUCAAAAUAGUAAGCAAAGAUUAUUAAAUCAACUUUCAAAAUGAAACAAGUCCCCAUGCAUGAGUAUUUAAAACAUUUUAUGAUUAGAUUUAAUUAAAAUAAGAUAAACUAACUAGUGGUAAAUAAUGAGGCGAAUUUUUCGAAUUUUUCCUAAUAUUCGCCUCUAAUUAGACGAGUUUAGAAGAAGCAUAAGUGGGUUAGGGGUGAGUUUGAUUUUUUUAAAAAAAAAAAAACUCAGAGGGUUGAACUAUUACUUUCUCCCUCCCCACCAUAUCCAAAUUACAUAUAUAGUUAUUAAAAUAAUUAAAUUAUUUUUUUCAUUUCCCUUUUUUUUAACACAUAAAAUUUACAAAUAAUUUUUUAUUAAAAUUAUAAAAAUUGUUUUUUAUUUAAUUUUUAAUAUAAUCAAAGUUUUUCAAAAAAUUGAAAUUUAAAGAUAAAAAAUAAUUAAAAAAAAUAAGGGAUAGGAAAUUUAUAUAUAUAUAUAAUAGAGAGGAGAAUAUCUUUUGUAUUUCGAAUAAGAAGAGAAUAACUAAAAAUAACAAAUAAAAAGAAUAUCAGAGAUAUUUAAUGAAAUUUCAAAUUGAUGAGAAUUAUAUGUAUUUAAUCAAAAUCUUAAGAGAGAUGAAUGAAAUUAACUGAAUUAGAAAUUAAUCAAUUACUUAUAUCUACUUUGCUAUCUAAUUCAUUAAUCAUCACUUACAAUUACCAAAAUACUAUGGUCCUUAAAUGCAGAAACUUCAGACCCAGGCCCAACAAGAUAAGGGGAGCAUCAGUACUUAUAAUCCCUUAAGAAUUUCUAAUCAUAUAUAUUCUAGAGAUCCAAAAUUUCAACCAAAUUUGAUAGCACCCGAUAUCCGUGUUAGAUUUUGACGAGCCUUUUGUCAAGAUUAAAACCAACGACCAAUAAUUUUGAAUCAUUAUUUCAUUUUUAUUGAUAUUAAUCAAUAAAAUUAAAGUGAACUUGUUAUCAAUAAGUUUAGUUUAGUUAUAUUGAUUGAUGUCGAUGAAUUAUUUUUAACUGAAUAAAAAAAGUCAAUUGUUUUGGUUUUGUCUAUUUAGUCAAAAAACAAAUACCACCUUAGAGUGUGUUUUUUAUAAUAAUUUUAAAAAAAAUUUUUAAUUUUUUCAAUACUUGAAAAUUUUUAUUUUUCAAAUAUUAGAAAAAAAAAAUACUUUGUAUCAUUAAUUUAUAUUAUUGGUAGGCUAAAAUAGGCUCAGUUUUCAAAUUACCUCUUCCAGGGCCAUGGUUAUUUUUCAUUUUUCCACCUUUACCGUAUGACCAUACUAGUGUUUGAAUUUUGAACCUCCACUUCAACCUAAAAUUUAUUAGGGUAGUUGCCUUGUUCUUUAUAUUUUCGUCCUUCUUUUAUGAUAGGUUUGACAGCCUCAAAAGCUUGUUCAAUCACUUUUCACAUGCUUCAAGCUAUUAACUAUUUACAUUUUGUAUGGCAGAAGAAACAUGUUCUUGUUUUUGCAGGCAAAGUCCUUAAAACUUGCUUAUCAACACCUUCUCUUCUUGAAUUGUGUGUCCACAACUCAUAUUAACAAAAUCUCCACAAAUUUUGAAGUUCUAUUGAAAUUAUUUUAUCACUUCUCUUGGGAUUCUUAAUUUUUAUAAUACUUCUUAUGCAACUUUAGCUUUCUAAUCCCCAAAAACUUCUAGGAAGAAUAACUUAAUUUGCUUAAGAGUUGUUUGGUUAAAUUUAAUGCUUAUUUGUUAAUGAUUUAAGUUAAAUUAUACUUAAAUUAUUGAUUAAAAACUUAUUGUUUAAUUAAUAUUAUUUGAUAAAAUUAAUUUAAAAUUAAUUUUAAAUUAUCAAAUUGACAUAUUUAUCAUCAUAAAUUAUAAUUAAGGUAAAGGAAGUCGAGUAACAAUAGAAGUUGUAAAGUAACAAAAGAGAUCGUUGAGGUAAUUAGAGUAAAUUAAAAUAAAAAUAAAUAAAAUAAAGAUAUGAAUUUAAAAAUAAGUUAAUUGUUUUUACUUAUUAUUUAAAGUUAUUUUUCACUUUAAAUCAUACUAUUAAAUUAUUUUACCAAAUAUACUUAAUUUACUUAAUAACUUAAAUUAAAUUAUUAUGUCACUUUAAGUUAUUAAAUUGGUUCACCAAACACCCCUAACCUUUCUUGAAUAUGUAUAGAAGUAUAAAGAGAUCUAACAAAAGUAACUUUGCUUAUUUUAUACUUUGUUAAACAUAUAAUAAGUUAAAUAAAGAGAGACAAGUUUUUCUUUAACAAGAAUCACUAAGUUUACAAUGAAAGAAGUCUAUCUUUUUGACACUUGGUUUUCACAAGAUACCAAUGGACCUUUGGUGUACACUUAAUGUUUCCAUGUGAUUUAAUGCACAUUAAAUGCUAUUAAAAACUUGUUGAAUAAUAUUUCCAUGUGAUUAUCAAGUGGUUGGUACAUGAUAGAUAAAUUUCAAGAAGUCUGUUUAGGCACUAAUCUUGUCAAUCUAAAUUUGCUAUUGCACUACAAGGAAAAUGUCAAAAGAUGACGCUUUUUAAGUGUCAAGAUAGAUAUAAGAUGACGCUUUUUAAAAGCGUCAUAUAUUAGACUGUCAUCUUUUUAAAUCACAUACGUUGACACUUUUAGAAGCGUCAUUUUCUUUGCACGUCAACCAUGACGCUCAUAGUAAGUGUCAUUAUUUGAAACAUUGACGCUUUAUAAGUGUCAUCAUAUGUUAAUAAUUUCAUUCAUGUCAAUAUUGACACUCAAUGAAGCGUCAUUGUAUAGGUAGAAGCAACAUUGACACUCAAUAUAAGUGUCAUCUUAUAACUUUUUAUUUGUAGGAGCAACUUUGACACUUAAUAAAGUGUCAUUGUAUAAGUAGAAGCAACAUUGACACUCAAUAUAAGUGUCAUCUUAUAGCUUUUUUUAUUUGUAGGAGCAACAUUGACACUCAUAAUAAGUGUCAUCGUAUAGCAUUUUAUACCUUGACACUAAAAAAAAAUGCCAUGUUUUUUUAACAUUAACCUUGACGCUUUUGAGAAGUGUCAUCUUCUGUUAUUCAAGUAAAGCAUGACGCUUUAAAAAAGCGUCAUCUUAUCUCAUAUAAAAUUUUAAUAGCCCAGAAAUUAAAAUGUCCUAAUUAUGCCCUGUUUUAUAAUUUUCUAUCAACAAUUAAAUUAAUAAUGAAAACUUAAUUUAAGAAUCUCCAUUGACAAAAAGUAUCAAAUAUGGUCUCCCUUUUUCACUAUUACAAUUUAUCCAUAAACAUCAUAUAUAAUCAACAACUAAAACCAACAAUUUUACAACUUCUUCUUCUCAACUUUAAAUUGUUCAUAACCUUCACUACAUCUAGUUUUACAUCAUUUUUCUUCCAAGUGCAAAAGGAUGGUUGUAACUCACUUUCUAGAUGCUCAAUCUGCAAAAUAAUUGAGAGGGUUACAUAUUUAUUAGUAUUAACAAAUAGUUAAGAAGCAACUUUGUAAAUGAAAUGUGUAUAUGCCAAUUUUUAAAUUUCCAAAAUAUCUUUCUUCCAUUGCAAUAAAUUUCAAAAUAUCAAAAGAACUCAACAAACUCCAAUAAUUUUAUUACACCAAAUUUCUAAAUAUUUUAGAACUCUUAUUCUAUUUUUUUUUUUUAAAAACAAAAAAAAAAAGUUUUUAUCUCAUUGACUAUUUUGGUAUGAUUUUUAUCUUAUUUAUGAAACUUCAACCAUUAACAUCUUCUCAUUCUUCUUAUAGGUUGUACAAGACAUUAGAUGUUUUGCAUGAGAAGGAACUAAGGAAUGAAAAAAAAAACAAAAAAAACUAGAAGUCCAAAAAAUUAUAAAAUUUUAAAUUAACAUAUUUAUGUAAAAUUAUAAAAUUGUGUUAAAAUAUCUAUGUUCUUCUUAUUGUAUUAGUAUAUCAACAUUUAAUAAUAUGAGGAUAUCUAUUAUCUAAAUAUGGAACUUGCAUGAAAUGAUCUCUAAACAUGGAAUUGAUUCAUAAAACUUACAAUAACCACAACAUGUUACCUCAAAAUUCUUUUGAUGAUAUAUUUUGAAUUGUUUGUAGGUGUCCUUCAUCAAGAGCAGUAGUGACGUUGUUAAUAGAAUGACCUAUGCCUUUUUGUACAACCUGAAGAAUAUAUAAUAAACAAUUUAACAACCAAUUAGUAAGAGGUGCUAUUUCCUUCCAUAGGCUUAUUUGUAAGAAGUCUUAAACUAACUUCCUAUUUUUGUAUGUAAAAGAAAAUGGAAGUACAAGAUAUUAUAGACUUUAAGCCCAUUAGUAUAGUAGGAGACCUUUAUAAAUUUAGAUUAAAGAAGUUUAUAAAGCUAGUAAUCUUAAAGACCAAAAAUGCUUUUGUAGAGAAUAGACAAAUUCCUAAUUCAUGCACAUGUAAUGAAACUAAAGGCUCUACGAAAAUGAGCUUGGACAUGCAGAAAUUUUUGUAGCUAUGCUAUUGUAGGAUUUCUCCAAAUCUAACUGAUAAUAAUUUGUAGAGGAAAUAUACAAAAGUUGUUACACCUACCAUGUCUACUUGGCUUCACCUCUCAAUAUGCCAACUAUACAUCAAUCAUAAUAGAGCAACCCCCAAAAUGAUCCAUAUUGAAAACACUGCCAACUAGGAGUACAAAGAUAUACAUUAACAAAUUAUCAUUGUGAAUAAAUCCAUUAUAAAAUUAACAUUAACAAAAUAUUGACUACAUCUUUAAAAGAAUAUGAAGUUGUAUUAGACUAUAAGUUAUAAGAGGUACUUUCAAACAUGAGUAAUGAUUAACUGAGUCACUAACAUAACCCAAUCUGAUCGAACUUCAUUAAUUUCCAUUUCACUAUAUGAUUUCUUCCCACAAAACUGAAUUGGAGUGACAUAUACAAUUCACUAAGUUCAAUUGACCAAAAAAAAAAAAAAUGCUAUAGUAAAAUGACCAACCAUAUGAAUUGAAUUGAGUGCAAACCUUUGAUGUUAGUUGGUUUGGAUUAGCAAUGAUUUCCUUCAUAUAUCUCAUCACGUAAUACCCACAUUCCACACUACCUGGUUGUCUUGGGCACUAUGGGAAAAGUAUCAACAAUUGCAAUAAACACUAGAAUGAUGUUCUUACUUCUUUAGCAUCUUAUUGAUGAUCAUAUUAAUAACCAUCCAUUUUCUAAUUUUUUCAUAAAUUAAGUGGUGAAGCAAUAUAUUUUAAUCUAAACAAAUAAGUACUUACAACCACUUUCACCCAAGUUGGCUCCCUCUUUGAUGUUUUCUGUUUUUCCGGUGGGUUGAUUCUCAUUACCCUACAAAAAGAAUUAAAAAGAUGUUAUUUAAACACUAUCAAUUGUAUUAAAAUAGGAGAAAAUAUAUACUUACAUGUUAACUAUGUCCUUAAGAUCAUCACAUGGUUGACAUGCCAUUGGAUCAAGGUAAUAUGCAAUCAUUUUCUUCAUCUCCAAUGCCACUAACACCCAAUGAAAACUAAAGAAAAGAAAUGAAAAUUGUAAUAUAGUAUCCACAAAUUCAAACAUCACAAACUAACUUACAAACACCAUAUUGAUAUUUAGGAUAAAAGGUUACUCUAGGUUGUAUGGAAUAAGCAUAUAUUCAGCAUGCUUUGUAUUCUUUAGUCGAUCUGCAAUAACCCUUGACCUGUUUUCCUUGCUUCCCUCUCCUAUUCCAGCUUUUGAGACCAAUGCUGGAUUGACAAAAACAUAUCGUUCGGCCUGCUUUGCAUCAAUCAACUUUCUAUGCAAAUGCCUGAUUAUAACCCAUAUGACAAGUUAUCAACAAUCAUUAUAGGUCAUUAGAAAAUAACCUUCUAUCUCAUAAUCUUGUAAAAAGUCAUUCAAAAAUUAUAAAAUCCCUUACCAGAUGUAGUAUAAAAUACAAUUGGAUGACACUUCUUUUGAUGAUAUUAUCAUUUCCAUAUCUUCUUUCAUCAUGAAGGUCUUGAAACUCUCACCAAAAACAUCCUCUGGGAAGUUUAUAGGGUAUGCUCUUGAUGUACUCAGCAUGAGGCCAACCAAUGUCUCAAAAUUUUUCAUAUCUUGUGGUUUUUCACCCUUGGAUUUGACUUCAACUUCAUUUACUUUUUGUUUCUUUGCUUUCUUAGAUGCCUGUACAAUUAAGAACCAUGGUACAAAUCAAAUUAACUAGUUAUAUAUAUAUAUAUAUAUAUAUAUAUAUAUAUAUAAAGUCACUAUAAAGUUUGGUAAUUAAAUUUACUUACUAAGAUGGGAGUACGGAUGAUGACCAAAUCAGUUGGCCACAAAACUUGGUAACCAAUUGCAGCCCCAACAGUAGUAGUUUGUCCAGGAAUAGGAAUGGGAAGGGGUGCACUUGAAUCAUAAGGAGCAUCAACAACUACUAAAUAGUUGGGACCACAUUCAAGUAUAAUUGUUCCACCUGCCACUAUAUUUUCCUUGGUGCCUAUGGCCAGCUCACAUUUUCUAACCUACAAAACUCAAUUCACAAUAAUCACUUCAAUAUUAGUGGGUUUAUACAAAACUAACAUAAAUGCAUUAUCAUCAUCAAUCACCUUAUAGCUCCUAUUACAAUGAUAAAUGCAAUUUCAUUUACAUUCAAUUGCAACAAACUUGCAUGAUAACAUUUCAGUCCAUUGCAUAUAACUCAACCCAUAAUUUAGACAUAUCCUAUUAUAUGUUGCCACAUCAAAGAAGACCAUAUAUGUUGCCACCAACAUUUGAAGUUAAUUCAAACAACAAAAUUAAAUUAAAUUAUUUCUCGUAUUAGAGGAAACUUUGUCAUCAAAUUAGCUUAAUUGAAUAAAUACCUUCUUCUGUGGUUCUAUUGCUUCUGGUGGGGUCACAUCUUCAACUUUACAGAUUGGCUUAUCCACUGCUUCUGGUAGGAGAAGUUGUUUUUGCUUCAUGUUUGAACUGCUAACAUCAGAUUGGGGAGUAACAACUCCUACUUGAGUCAGUUUUGCUAGCACUUCUGCCUGAAAUAUUCUUUGUUCUUCUUUAGAUGCUGCUAUGAAAUCCCUGACAGCACGAUCUGCAGCACUAUUGAAAUAUUGGCGAGGUGUGUAGUGCUUCCCUUUGGCCCUAACUCGACCACUAUACUCAGGAGUACCCAAUGCUUCCACAAGUAUAUCAUUACUUCCACUAACACUUCUACCAUUCUCUUGAGACUCUUUCAAUAGCUUGUCCUUAAAAAAUAUUAAUUAUAAAGUUAAAUUGCAAAUUUGUUAUUGUAAAUAACUUAUUAUAAAUAUAUGUAAUUAAAAUUGAAAAAUAUUCACUUACUAUUUUCUCAAUUACUGGUAUGGCCACUUCAUCAAAGGUGCCGUCCUUUUUUUCCCUUGCUUUCUUCCACAAUAUGCUUCGAUCAAUAGUUUUAAUUGAUCCACUUGCAACCAUCUUUCAAAAUAGGACAAUGUAUAAUAUAAUUAUCAUAUAACCCUAUUAUGUAUUAUGCAUAAAAUAAAUAAAAAACAAUUAAUAGGCUUACACUUACCAUCUCUUCCUUAAGACCGGCAUAUCCUUUCCUACUUAGAUGGUGAUUAUAAAUGUUUCUCUUUCUUCUUUCUUUUUGAAUUUCUCGAUAUUCCUAUAAAUUAAAAUUUUAUAAUUAAUGAAUGUGAAUAAGAGGUAUGUAAAGAGUCUUAAUUAUACCUUAAAGUUGUCAGACAAUCUAUCUUUGAAAAAUAUUGUCCAUCUUCAUCCUCAAUAAAAGUAUAUUGAAUUGGUGGUCUUUUGAGGAGCUCCGGUUGGUCUUCAAAAGGAAGAAUGUACUUCACUGUUAGCAAGUUCUUAAAGGACCGAAAGUAUUUUCCCAUUGUUAACAUACAAUUCCUCCUGCUUUUAUGAUUUAAUGAAAAAACAGUCUGCACAUUAAUACCAAACUUUAGUAAUUUCAAGAGGUUAAGAAUGAUAGACAUUUUGCAUCAAAGUGAUUUAAAUAAGAAAUGGUUACCUCAAUGCUGUCCCAUAACUUAUCCUUCAACUGUUUAGGUACAACAUGCCAAGUUUUAUAUCUUAUUGGCACCAUAGUGCGUGCUAACACGCCUAAGUAGCUUGUUAGAUGAACUGCUGAUUCUCCUAUGAAAAUGCCAUCAAGAUUGUACUUAACCGACAACUUAACCCCCUUGCUUCUGUUUUUUAUAAUCAUAUGCUUCCGUGUCAUCCCUCUGUACUUCCUUUUCAUGGGUUUUUCUCCUUCCUUUGUCUCCAUUCUUGUAACAAAAAAAAUAAAAAAUGAUAAAGAUUAGUUAAAAUUAUAUUGCAUAUAACCUAGUCAAAGAAUAAUUGUAAAACAUAACUUUUCAAAGAAACAAAUCCAUAAUCAUUGUACAAUGAAAUGCAAUAGAUCAUGAAUUCAAUAGAUCUUUUUAGAAUUGUUCAUCAUAUAACAAGGAUAACACUUCAUUUAAACUUUUUUUUGUCCCGCUUUGUUUAACAUUUCAUUUAUUUUAAGCAACCCAAGGGCCUUUGUAUAAGAAAGCUUAAUUUGCAGUAGGAAUUUCCUAUAAGAAUCAACAUGGAAGGAGCACGUGGUUUCAACAAGUUCAUCAAGUCCAUAAGAACUUAUGAAUGCUUUUGGACUAUCGGUUUGUGUUACAUUAAGUUUGGAAAACACAACAUGCAUAUUGAUAAUAAAAAAUUUCAUAAUUUUUUUACUCACAAACAUAACUAAUUUAGUAUCUUCCAUGCACAAUUUAGGGAAAAGGUUUUAGUAAAUAUGUUAUUGGGAGAUGUUAAAGAAUGAUCAAUAUUUUGUGCAAAAAAAUAAAGAAAGGAUAAAAAUUACCUAUUUUGUGGCUGUUGCAACCCAUUCCAUGGCCUUUAUUCAUACAUUAGCAUUAAAAUAUAGCUACAUAGAGGAUUUGUUCUCAAUCCAAAUCCCCUCACAAUCGCCUCGCAUACAUGUUGCAUCUGAGUCAUCCAUUACAUCAAACGCUUCAAUUUGUGGCAAUGCCCCUAUAAAGGGAUGGUGUUCAAUCGAAUUGUCAACAAAGUCUUCACCUCCUUCCAUAUCCAAGAAAUCUUUUUGAGGAGUUGACAAAACAACCGACCAUCUUGGAUCAAGUUGGUCUUGCACAUAAAAUACUUGCUUAGCUUGGGAUGCCAAAAUGAAAGGAUCUGAUUUAUGAGCAAUUUUGCUAAAGUCAACUAAUGUAAAGCCAAGAUCAUCAACUUUUAUGCCAUUUUUAUUAUCAACCCAAUCACACUUGAAAACCGGUAUCCUAAACAUGGUAUAAUCAAGGUCCCAGAUCUCGGUAAUAAUGCCAUAGAAACAAAGCUCACCAAACACUGGAUUUUGAUCCUUUGCACUUGCGAUUUGCAUUGUUGAAGCUACAAUACUAACUCCACUAUUUUGGGUAGUUCGUAAGUCAUCUCGUUCCUUGGUAUGGUAUCGACACCCAUUAAUGACAUAUCCAUGAUAUUUAGAGACAUAAUGGCUAGGACCAUGAGCUAUCCACUUAAGGGUUUCAGAUAUAGGUUCAUUAUUACCAAUUGCAGCUUCAAUCUGUAAUUAUAAAUAAUAGUUAUUAUGUAUGUUAAACAUUAGUAAAAAGAAUACUUCACAUUAUAACACCAUUCCAAUACCUUUUUUCUCAACCAAUAAGUAAAAGUCUGCAGGUGUUCAUCCUGGAGCCACUUUUGUCUUUUUGAUUGACGAGGAUUUUUCAAUUUCAACCAUUCCAUGUGCUCUCUAUGUAAUUAUUUAUAAGAAAUUCAAAGUUAAUGUCUUAAAGUUAUUUUAAGUAUCAGACACAAAUAUUAAGUGUUAGUGGUUCUUACUCAAUAUAAGGUUGAACAAUAGUUGUAUUCUCUAAAACAUAAUGAUGUGCAUGUAACCACAAAUUGGAAUCAAUUGUCACAACUUGACCUCCAGGUAUUGGUGCCCAACUUUUUGGUCAAUGUUUGCACUAAUAGGAAUCCCAAUCGCAUCUACAUUUGAUAAAUACUCUGUACAAAAUUCAAUAGCUUCCUCUGCAAUAUAGCAUUCAGCGAUACAACCUUCGGGCCGAUUACGGUUUCGUACAUACCCUUUCAAAACUUUCAUGAAUCUUUCAAAUGGGUACAUCCACCUUAGGUAAACUGGUCCACAAAGUCUCACCUCCCUUACAAGAUGUACAGUAAGAUGAAACAUGAUAUCAAAGAAAGAAGGUGGAAAGUACUUCUCAAGCAAGCAUAAUGUCACCACCAAAUCAUUUUGUAACUUAUCCAGUGCAGACACAUCAACCACUUUGCUACACAGAGCAUUGAAAAAAAAACUCAAUCUGCAAAUAGCAUGUCUUACAUGCUUUGGCAAAAGGGAUCGUAAUGACAUUGGCAAUAACUGUUGCAUUAAUGUAUGAUAGUCAUGCGAUUUAAGACCAUAAAGCUUCAAGUCUUCCAUUGACACAAGGUUUCUCAUGUUAGAGCAAUAACCUUCAGGAACCUUUAAUUGUGAUAAAGUUUGGCAAAAAACCUUUUUCUCCACUUUAGAUAACGUAUAACAUGCAGGUGGGAGAUAAGUUCGAUUUGAUUCAAACCUUGGCCCCAAUUCACACCUUAAGCCCAUCUCUAGCAAGUCUAGGCGAGAAUUAAGUCCAUCUUUCGUCUUACCUGGAAUGUUGAGUAAGGUACCAAUGAUGCUUUCACAAACAUUCUUCUCUAUGUGCAUUACAUCCAAGCUAUGACGAACAUGUAGGUACUUCCAAUGCUCAAGAUCAAAGAAUAUGGACUUCUUUUUCCAACAAUUUGUAGUAUUGACAUUCAACUUGCCUCGGGAGUUUUUAUUUUUUCCCCAUGAAUUAGAAAUGACACCAAUUUUCCUUAGGAUUUCUUCUCCACUCAAUGGUUGCGGAGGUGAGCUAAACUCUUGUUUACCAUUAAAUGUCUUCUUUUGUUUCCUAAAAGGAUGGUUGCAAGGAAGAAAUCUUCUAUGACCUGUAUAUGAGUUCUUUUUCCCAUGCUUCAAUCUGUGAGAGAAUGUAUCUUCCCCACAUAUGGGACAUGCAAAAUAUCCUUUAACUACACAACCAGAUAAGUUUCCAUAUGCAGGAAAAUCAUUGAUUGUCCAUAGUAGAACAGCUCUUAAUGUAAAGACCUCUUGCUGAUGCACAUCAUAACAUUCAACCCCUACAUCCCACAACAUUUUUAAGUCAUCCAAUAAUGGUGCCAAAUAAAUAUCAAUGUCAUUUCCAGGUUGUCGUGGACCUGAUAUUAAUAAAGAUAGCAUCAUAAACUUCCUUUUCAUGCACAACCAAGGAGGAAGGUUGUAAAUAACCAUUAUAAUAGGCCAACAACUAUGUUUACUGCUCAUUGAACUAUGAGGAUUUAUACCAGCUGCUGAAAUGGCAAGUCUAAGAUUUCUAGGUUCUGAAGCAAAAUCAGGCCAUCUGUGAUCAACUAGCUUCCAUGAUGGGGAGUCAGAUGGAUGACGCAUUUUACCAUCAAAUUCUCUUUCUUGAGCAUGCCAUAUGAGGUCUUUUGCAAUUUUUGGGGACUGAAACAAUCUUCUAAAUCUUGGAAUAGGAGGAAAAUACCACAUUACUUUUGCAGGGACUCCCUUCCUCUUUUUAGUACCUGUUCCAUCUAACUUCCACCUUGAAGUUCCACAAGUAGGACAAGAAGUUGCAUCCUUCAACCCAUUUCUAUACAAUAUGCAAUCAUUGGGACAUGCAUGUAUUUUCUCAUAUUCCAUUCCCAAUGUAUUCAAUGUUUUUUUUGCUUCAUACAUAGACAGAGGCAACUCAUUGUUUAGAGGCAACAUAUCUCCAAGAAUACUUAAAAGCUCUGAAAAGCUUUUAUCAGACCAUCCAUAUCGUGCUUUCAGGUUGUAUAAUUUGACCAAUGCAGAUAACUUUGUAAAGUUUCUACAACCAGGAUAUAAAGGUUUUUUAGCAUCUUCAAGUAAUGUUUCAAACAAUUUUGGGUCAUUCUUACGAUCAUCAUAUGCAACUUGAACCAUUUCUAUUGUACUAUCCACAUCGUUAAAUUCAACUGUAUGAUGCCAUUCUACCCUACUAGUUGGUGGUCCACUUGGAGCAGCGUCUCCAUGCCAAUACCAUGUAUGGUAACUCUGAUCAAUUCCAUAGAAGAAUAAAUGUUCUCUAAUUUUUUGAGGAGUGUGGAAUAUCAUAUUACCACACUGAAGGCAUGGACAUUUCAUGGAGUUUUUAUAUGUGGAAUAUUGUAAUGCAAAUGCGAUAAAGCUUUCUACCCCAUCUGCAUAAUCCUUUGAUCUCCUAUCCUUUGACAUCCAAGAACGAUCCAUUUGAUGUACAAGAGAUAAACACAACUCCUAGAUACCACCAACAACUAAAGUUAUUAAUAAAAUCCUAUUAAUAGGCUUAAAAUAUAUAAUCUACCAAAUUAAAAUUUCCCACAUUGUCACUAAACUUAGACCAAUCCAAAAAAGGACAAUGUGCAAGUCAUCUAACAAUAAGCAAUAUGACAAGAAACAUAAUUAGUAUAUUAGGUUAUUCAAUAUUGGCAUAAAAAAUGGAUCUUAGUUCAUUCAUGAUGUUUGCUUUAUUCAUGAAUAGGAAUGAAAAGCAAGAUCUAACUUUUAGUCUUCUCUUAUAUUAUUGAAUACACCAAGUUUGAAAAUUUUAAAACACAUAACCACAUGAGACAAUGAUACCAUGAACUAAAACAAUUAACGAAUGGAACUAAGAUUCGAAUGAAUAGAAGCAAGUGAUUUAUACAUGAUUUAGGCAUUCUAACAUCUCUAACAUCCUUAAUUAGGUGGUGGUUCCUAUCCCAUAUAGGAAUACAUAAUCCCUAUGUGUCAAUUGGCAAUAUACUUAAAUUCAUUUUAAAGAAAUUUCGGCAGCAUUUCCCUAUAGUUCUCCAAGUACACAAAAUGGAUAAGGCACAAUAUGUGACCUUGUCCAAAUAUGCACCUAGAGAACAAGAAGAAAGACUACCAAAUUUUCUCAAAAUUGAAUUAAGAACAAGCAAUUAACUUCAUAGAUAUCAUGUUUUCCUAUACUGUCCAGCUGGACAAUUCAAACAUCAUUUGCAGAGAAAAGAUUUUAUCACAUGGAAGACAAAUUUAGUAAUUGUCAACUUGAAACUGGCUUAAAUAUACCCACAUUUCACAUUUUGACAACUUAUUGUCUUAGUAUGUAAUAAGAGAAACUUCUGUCUCACAAUGAUACUUGAAUGGGAAUUCUAAGGUUUCAUGCAUGCAUAGUUGAUUAAAACUAAAACAUAAAUACUUAUUAAAAUAUUACAUCUAGUUAUGUAUUAUAAAUUAUUCAUAUCAAUUGAAAUGGUGAGAAUAGGAAAAUAUUGUUUGUAAGCAUCACAUUUUAGACCUAAGUUCACAAACUUUGCUAAAUCCAUUAAAGACCCACUACAUAAAGUUCAUGUUAAAAUUGGUUCAUCUCCAACCCCCAAAAUGAUUUAUCAAAGUUACUCAUUUUUUAGAGUCUUGAUUAAUUAGAUAAUCAAUAUAGAUACAUAUAAUUUGUAUUAAUAUAAUAUCAUGAUAUUUUUUUCAUUUUGUUUUUAGGCUUAGACUUGGGUAGAUUUCCCAAGUAAGGCUAAAGUAGAGCUAAGCCGCACCUUGACAUGUGUUCUACUUAUGUUGGGGGUGACCAUUCUAGUUUAUGGUCAUAAGUGGGGUGUCAAAUCUCAAUUAGUUUAUUGAAUAGAUGAACCAAACAUGACGUUAUUAUUAAUUAGAUAACAUGUUGUGUAACCCAUUUAAAAAUGAAGUUGAAUAACAUCUUUUGUAACAUAAGCAAUGAAGCCUAUGUCAGAUUGUGAAGCUUAAAUUAGUAGUAAAUGUUGCACUUCGCUCGGGAUGUCGGGGGUCGAGCUGCCCGGUCAGCUCGCGGGGGUUGAAGGGGGCAGCGCCCCCUGAAGAAAUUUUUUUUAUUUAAUUUGAAAGCCGUAUGAUUCUGCUCAUAGGCAGUAGUUAUUGAGUUCCAUGGCACUACAUCCCUUAAUAAAAAUUGUUGAAAAACUUUCUAUGCAUUCCAAGAGCCCAUAUCUCGAAAUGACAUUUCAUCAAACAAGUUAUAGGCAGUACCUACAACUCCAUGGAAAGCAAGCUCAUUUCGGCAUGAACCAUUGUACACAAAUGGAACAACACCAGAACCAUUUCCAAAUCUUCCAGAGAACAUAAGAACCAGAGAACAAAAACAGAGGAGAGACACAACUGAGCCUAAAAACAGAGGUAUAGUAUCUUUUUAUCGAAAAUGCAAACCAAGAAAAUAAUUGAUAAUAAAAAAAAACCACAACAAAUUUACAAGCAUUCACACUCAAAUCCCAGAAAUCAAUAGUGAAGAAUGUGAAUCAAUGGGAAAACGAGAACAUAUGGGCUCGUACCAGACAACUCUCUCUUCUGGGUUUUUUCUUCUCCCUUCUUUUCUUUCCUCUGUUCCUCUGGUUCUUCGACCUUUCCUCCUUGCUUACCUCUUCAACCGAAGGCACCUGCCUUUGCUGCCUCUUGCCUCUCCCAACCUACGAAUCUAAAAAAACCCUAGCUUUCUCUCAUAUCUCCAUUCAUUUCCUUUCUCUCAAUCCAGCACCCAAAUAGUCAAAUCGGUGGAACAUCCAUGAAUGCUAUCUUCUUGAUUUGGAGUAAGAACUUCAUUUUCUCAAUCGAAAUUGGUUGGAGCUUGCUGGUUCAAUUAGAGACAGAUUUGGUAAUGAAACUUGAGUGUGGGCAUCGGGUAUGGAAAAACCUUUAUAUUACAUUUAUCUCUUUUUUUUUAAUUGAAAAAUGUGAGUAAUUAUAAAAUGAACAGAAAAUGACGCUUUUAAAAGCGCCAAGGUUGAGGUUCUCCUACAAUGGCACUUAAAAAAGCGUCAUUAUUUGAAAUGCAUUAUACAAUGACGCUUCUAAAAGCGCCAAGGUUGAGGUUCUCCUACAAUGACACUUAAAAAAGCGUCAUUAUUUGAAAUUCAUUGUACAAUGACACUUAAAAAAGCGUCAUUAUUUAAAAACGUCAUUAUUUCUCCCAUUAAAGCGCCAAGAUAAUGCAAGCGUCAUUAAUACCCAUUUUUGAGAAUAAAUAAUGGCACUUUAUAUAAGCGUCAAGAAAAAAAGCGUCAUAAAUUACAUUUUUUGUAGUAGUGUUGGCAUUAAGUACUAUUGGUUAUUGCAGGCUCAACUAUCCAAUUGCUAGGCCGAGCUACUUUAAUUAAGGAGAAUAUAUAUAUGUGUUUUUAUUUGAAAGUUUGAAAUAAAAUAGAAAAUAAGAAUAGUUGAAAAAAUAAUAAAAUUUAUGGACUUUCAAGUAGAAAAUAGUCCUUAUAUAUAUCAUUAAAAGGUUCAUAAUACUCAAAUAUUACUUUUGACUUAAAAAUGCAUCAAAUAACAAUUUUUUUUAAUUGCAUAGUGUGAAUCCAAAUAUGAAAAAAUGAGAUCUCAUUUUACAUAUAUUUUAAAAUAAGACUAUGAAAACAUAUUUUUCCUAUAUUAAACGGAGAAAACAUUUCAAAAGGGUGAAACAAUGUACUCUAUAAACAAAUGAUAAUUUCAAUCAGCCAAUUUUUCUUCUUGGGUUCUAGGAUCUUUAAACGUAUGAUUAGUGAGAUAUUUUGUGUUUAAAUUAACGGGGUUUAAACCAUGUUUUUAAAGUAUGGUUUUACAUGAUUGGUAUAAGAACACUUUAACAACCAAGGUUUUGUUCCAAUAUAGAAGUGUAUUUUUUUCUAUAUCCAUCAAAUAAACAUCACCAAUCAAAUGGUGCCACAUAUACAUUUUUAGGUUUCGUUGUUUAUACUCUCAUCUCAUUUGUUUGUAUUUAUCAUUAUACCUUAGUUUCAUUAAUUUGUACUAUUUUUUAACCGUCUAGAUCAUAUCAUAUAUAUUCAUGGGUUUGAAGUUUGUUUGGUAUAUACGCAUUACCAUGUUACUUUAGCAUUUUCCUAACAACCAUGACCCUAAGACAUGUCUAUGCAAUCUGCUUGUAAGCUUACCAUGCAUUCAUACCUCCAAAAGCCAGAAACCACAAUUUGGUAAAGCUCUAACUUUAUCACUCAACUAACAUAAGGGUAGGUUGAGAUCAUCAUGCAACGUUGGUUAUUAUAUUGAAUUCAAAUUGUCAAUUACAACAACCCAUGUGCAUUAUCUUUACUGUCUGGAAGCCAAGAAUAAUUUGUGGCAGUGUCUCUCGGGAGAACCAGAAGCAGUGUCUGAGCGGUUCGUUUCCAGCAACUGAAAGUCCUGAUUACCCGGGUCUAUCAGCCCUCCCACGGAAUUGUAACAUGUUGACUGGUAGAUAUCUCUAUCUCUCUUCAGAUUAAAAGCAUCAAUAUAUGGAUAUGCUCUUAGACAUACAGAGUUGACCCAGCAGGAGAAAGUAGCCACAGAGUAGCUAAACCCUAAGAAUUUUGAAUGAUGAAGAACACCAUUGUUCUGUAUCCUUCUUCAGGUUUAAGCCACCUUGUUCCCAUGGUAGAGAUUGGCCGACUCCUGCUCGCUAACUACCCUUCCUUUUCCAUCACCAUCCUCAUUGCCACCCUACCUUCUGACACCGCCUCCACUGCCACAUACAUCGCUUCCAUUGCUGCCACCACCCCUUCCAUUUCCUUCUACCACCUCCCCACUGUUUCUUUUUCCAACCCGUCCGGUUUUCCAGCUCUAUUCUUUGAAUUUAUAACCCUUAACAACAAUAAUCUCCGUCAAACCCUAGAAUCCAUGUCCCAGACCUCAAGUAUUAAAGCCUUCAUCAUCGACUUCUUCUGCAAUACCUCUUUCGAAAUUUCGGCAAAUCUUAACAUCCCAACAUACUAUUUGUGUACUUCAGGGGCAAAUGGGCUUGCGAUGUUCCUUUACCUCCCAACGAUUGAUAGACACAUUACAAAAAGCUUGAAAGAUGAUCUCAACAUGCAUAUCCAUGUCCCGGGAACACCAUCCAUUGCAGCUUCUGACAUGCCCUUGGCGUUGCUUGAUCGCAGGACUGAAGUCUAUCAAUACUUCAUUGACACCGGAAAUCAGAUGGCUAGAUCAUCUGGAAUCAUCAUAAACACUUUUGAAUCGCUUGAACCAAGAGCUAUUAAAGCGAUAUCAGAGUGCUUCUGCGUUCCAGAUGCACCGACUCCUCCAAUUUUCUGCAUCGGGCCAUUGGUCUUGAAUUCGAAUCGAGCUGGUGGUGGCGGUGAUGAACAUGACUGCUUGGGCUGGCUCAAUAUGCAGCCAAGUCGAAGCGUCGUGUUUCUGAGUUUUGGUAGCAUGGGGUUGUUCUCAUCGGAGCAGUUGAAGGAAAUCGCAACUGGGCUAGAAAGAAGUGGAGUGAGGUUCUUGUGGGUGGUGCGGAUGGAGAAGCUCAAUGGAGAAACACCUCAGCCAAGCUUGGAUUCAUGCUUGCCAGAAGGGUUCUUGGAGAGAACGAAAGAUAGAGGUUAUCUGGUGAAGUCUUGGGCACCACAGGUGGCGGUGCUGAGUCAUGACUCGGUUGGCGGGUUUGUGACUCAUUGCGGGUGGAAUUCGAUUCUGGAAUCUGUGUGUGCUGGAGUGCCUAUGGUGGCAUGGCCUCUGUAUGCAGAGCAAAAGAUGAACAGGGUGAUCUUGGUGGAGGAAUUCAAGGUCGCUUUGCCGGUGAACCAGUUGGAAAACGAUUUUGUGACUGCGACUGAGUUGGAGAACCGAGUGACCGAGUUGAUGAAUUCCGACAAAGGAAAAGCGUUGAGAGACCGAGUUAUAGCCAUGAGAGAUGGUGCCAAGGCGGCCAUGAGAGAGGACGGAUCAUCUCGGCUUGCACUAGCCAAGUUGGUUGAGUUAAUUACACGAGCUCCACCGACUUGAAAAACUUUAACUCAGUUGUAAUUAAAUUUGUUAAUUACAAUUAUAUUUAAAACAAAUUACAACUUUACCAAAUUAUAUUUAAAUCUACUUUGGUUUGUGGGCCUGGCUGGCCUUAGUCGCUGAAAGCCUCCAGGAUGGACUGGGUCCAGCACUGCCUGCCUGACUGGUCUGGCCUGACCCAAGAAUAUGUUCGGCCCAUCCCACGAGCAGCCGCAAACACCUACCUAUUUGGGAAUAUUUUCCAAAAUGAUUUUUGAAAAAUAAUUUAUGAGAACAGUUGUUGAAAAUAUGUAUCAAUUAUUUUUAGGAAUAAAAUUUUAUUGAAAACACUCAAAUAUAAAAAACAGAUUUUUGACUUAUUUUUCAUAGAAGUAUUGAUUUGCUUCAAGAAUUGUUAGUUUUACAAGAGUAAUUAACUCAUUGCCAAGUUAUUUUUUGUGUUAAUCAUCACCUUUAAUCACCUAUUUAAAUCACUUGGGUUGUUUGGUAAUUUAAUAUAAUAUUUUUAGUGGUUUGAAAGGUAAAGAUGGCAACGGAUGCCAAUUUAAUAAUGCAAGAUAAUGGAAGAUUAGGAAAAUAGAAAACCUGAAAAAACAAACGUUUGUACCCAUUAGGGUAAGAGUAUCUAUUGACAAUAAUUUUAGAAAGUAUUUUUAGUUUUUUUUUAAUAUUUAAAAAUUUUUAUUUUUCAAUUAUAAAAAAUAUUAUAAAUAUUUUAUAAAAUCCUUAUCAAAUACACUCUAUGAUUACCACUUAAAGGGGAGCAUGCCCGGUGUGGCAUGCCCAUCACCAAUUUUCAAAGUCAAAGCUUAUUUGGGGGUUCAUUUCUAUUUUUCAAUGCAUUAUGCAUUGCAUCCCAUAGAAUGACCUUGUAAUUCUCUCCUAGUGAUUAAUCCCUUUGUUUUUACCAACCCAAAUUUUAUUUCUUUUCCCUUUCCUAUCUACAACCCGGUUCGUGAAAAAUUUGAGGAAAAAUAUAAAUAAAAGAAAAUACAAAGAAAAAGUAGAACGAAAGAAAAAAUGAAGAAAAAUAAAAAAUAGAUUAAAAAUCGAUAAAUUAUUUUUAUUUGUUACUUUAAACUUAUUUUACUUAUUUUAACUCAUCAAUAUAAAGAUUAAAUAAUUUAAAAUAUAUAAAUUUUUAAUUAAUUUUAAUUAUAUUUGAUAUUUUUUUAUAAGAAAACAAAAUAUGAGAAAAUAAUUUUUCUUUAUAUAUAUAUAUAUAUAUAUAUUUUUCUUAGUAUUUUUUGGUAACCAAACAUAUUAAAGUGAAUUCCUACUCUUCUUCCACAAUCAACUAACGGAAUCAAAUUAUGACUUGCAAGUAGCAACUCUUCACUUUGGGUGGACACUAUACAAUAUCCUAUUUCAAGCACAUUCUACAAAUUAAUAUAUGAUACAAAAACUUUUCAAAAUUCUCCAUAUUUUCAAUUGUUACUCCAGACCCAUUAUGAAAAACAGUCAAAAGUAACUUUUAAAAAAUUACUUGUUUUUAGAAUAAAUUCAUAAAAAAAAUAAAAAUAAAAAAUUUAUUUCUAUUUAAAAAUUUAUUUCUAAAUUAAACCAGUCUAGGCUUUAAGAAGUAAUUAAUGUAGCAUUGUUUCUACCCAGCUGCAGGAGAGUUGGAACCCCAAAGAGGUGACAAGCUAGCAACACACCAAAGGGCCAUUUUCUCAAAAGAGAGACAGCUCAUUUAUGCUAGUUUGGCCCAUUCCUACUCGACUUUUGGGGUUUUUUUUUAAUAACUUAUACGGCAAUUUUAAAAGUAAUUCUUUAAAAAUGGCAAUUAGAAAAAUAUUGAUAGAUAUACGACACUUUCGUAAAAUAAAAUAUGUUUUUUGAAGAGACAUCUUUCAUCAUUUUCAAAUAUCUAAUAUUCACUUAGAAAAAUUGAAUUUAAACUAAAAGUGUUUAUUUAAGAGACAUUUUUUAGAAUUCUAAAAAAUUGGAUUUAUACUAAAAGUAUAUUUUGAAAAGACACUUUCCACAAUUUUAUAAAAUUCAAUGUAUACUAAUUUUUUUGAAAAUGUGUCUCUUGAAUAAACAUAUUUCAUAAUUUCACAAAUUUUAAUUUAUACUACAAGUGUCUCUUGAAUUUGAUUUUAUAUUGAAAGAGACAUCUUCUACAAUUCAAAAAAAAAAAAAUGAAUUUAUAUUAAAGGUAUCUCUUUAAAAAAUAUUUUUUCAUAAUUCCACAAAUUCCAAUAUAUACUAAAGGUGUCUUAAAUUUUAAUUUUAUUUUUAAUUUUCACAUUCAACAAUUUUACAAAUUUUAAUUUUAUAUUAUAAGUGUUUCUUAGAUUUUAAUUUAUAUAAAAAGUAUCUUUUAAAGAAAUACCUUUAGUAUAUAUUAGAUUUUGUGGAAUUGUAGAAGGUGUUUUUUUAAGAGACACCUUUACUAUAAAUCAUUUUUUUUUUUUUUAAUUGUAGAAAGUAUUUACCUUCAAUAUAAAAUCAAAAUUAAGAGACAAUUGUAGUAUAAAUUAAAAUUUGUGAAAUUAUGAAAGGUGUAGAGACACCUUUGGUAUAUAUUGGAUUUUUUUUGAAUUGUGGAAAGUGUCCCUUCAAAAGACACCUUCUAUUAAAAUUAAAUUUAGGAGACACUUAUAGUAUAAAUUACAAUUUUUGAAAAUGUAGAAGAUUUCUCUUCAAGAGAUACCUUUUAUAUAAAAUUAAAUUUAGGAGACACUUGUAAUAUAAUUUAAAAUUGAUGAAAUUGUGAAAGGUAUAUCUUCAAAAAACACAUUUUAAGUAUAUAUUAGAUUUUGUGAAAUUAUAAAAAUUGUCUUUUCAAAAAGACAUCUUUUACUAUAAAUCAAAUAUUUUAGAAUUGUAAAAAGUGUUUCUUGAAAUACUUUUAGUUUAAAUUCAAUUCUUUUAAGUGUAUAUUGUAAAUUUAAAAAUUAUGAAAGAUAUCUUUUGAAGGGAUAUCUUUAAUAUAAAAUCAUAUUCAAGAGAUAUGAAAAUAGGUUGUAUGAAAAAAGUUAAAAUAUAAUUUUUUUUCCACCUCUCUCUUAUAUAUUCAAAAAGUUUUAUAUAUUCAAAAAGUGUCCGUAAAAUUGGAAUUAUUUUCCUAUUUACGGUAUUUUAUAAAAUAAUUUUUUAAAAGUCCGUACAUUUAUCAAAAACCCAACUUUUUGGGUAUGGCAUUGAAUAUGCCUUUCCUACAAAUAUUCUGUCUCAAACCUCUUAGCAGUGCCAAAGCUCUGUUACAUCAAACCCUAAUCUUUAACAUAAUUUUGUUUGUCAAAUUAUUGUCACUUUUUUGCCUGAUUUGAAUGGAGGGUAUACUUGUUCUCUCUGUGAAAGGGAAGUUGAUAUUUUGAGCGGCCAUGACUGAUUUUUCUUCCUUCCUUUGAUUUCUUCUUUACGUCCUUUUCAUUAUCUUCCGGAUGUGCGUAUAGAUGUUGAUAUGGCAUCCUUGAAAACAAACCAUCUCCACAAACUAUUCCCUUUCCACAACCAACCCCCUCUGCUCUCCGGCCCUCUCAGCAAUGGAGAGUGUAGUAGUAUUGUAUCCAUCGCCAGGGAUGGGUCACCUGGUCUCAAUGGUGGAGCUUGGAAAGCUUAUAUUGAAACACCAUCCUUCAUUCUCCAUCAUCAUCUUCAUCGUAACCCCACCUUACAACACUGGCUCUACCGCUCCUUACAUCGCCCGCGUCUCCUCUUCCACUCCUUCCAUCACCUUCCACCACCUCCCCACCAUCUCUCUCCCUCUCGAUUCUUUCUCCUCGCCCAACCAUGAAACCCUUACUUUCGAGCUCCUCCACCUCAACAACCAUAACGUCCACCAGGCCCUUGUGUCCAUCUCCAACAAUUCAACUGUCAGUGCCCUUAUCAUCGACUUCUUCUGCACUUCUGCUCUUUCCGUCGCUAAUGAACUCAGCAUCUCAUGCUAUUAUUUCUUCAC